GGAUAACUUACCCUUAGGACUGGGAUAACUCUGGGAAACUGGGGAUAAUACCGGAUAUUAGGCUAUGGCUGGAAUGCUUUGCCUUUGGAAUGUUUCUUGUAUUCGCCUAAGGAUAGAUCUGCGGCUGAUUAGGUCGUUGAUGGGGUAAUGGCCCACCAAGCCUAUGAUCGGUACGGGUUGUGAGAGCAAGAGCCCGGAGAUGGAACCUGAGACAAGGUUCCAGACCCUACGGGGUGCAGCAGGCGCGAAACCUCCGCAAUGUACGAAAGUGCGACGGGGGGAUCCCAAGUGUUAUUCUUAAUAGGAUAACUUUUCAUUAGUGUAAAAAGCUUUUAGAAUAAGAGCUGGGCAAGACCGGUGCCAGCCGCCGCGGUAACACCGGCAGCUCUAGUGGUAGCAAUUUUUAUUGGGCCUAAAGCGUCCGUAGC
RNAcentral lists this ribosomal RNA (428 nucleotides) under uncultured archaeon. Its description in RNAcentral is "bacterial SSU rRNA". It matches the Rfam family "Archaeal small subunit ribosomal RNA", at positions 102 to 525 of the family's 1478-position model. The record is from RNAcentral.